GAUGAAGAACGGAGCGAAAUGCGAUAAGUAAUGUGAAUUGCAGAAUUCAGUGAAUCAUCGAAUCUUUGAACGCACAUUGCGCCCGCCAGUAUUCUGGCGGGCAUGCCUGUUCGAGCGUCAUUUCAACCCUCAAGCCCAGCUUGGUGUUGGGGAUCGGCACAGGCGCCCUCGGGCGCCAGCCGUCCCCUAAAUCUAGUGGCGGUCCCGCUGCAGCCUCCUCUGCGUAGUAGUUUUCUCCUCGCAAGGGCAGCUCGGUGGCGACCUCGCCGUAAAACCCCCAACUUCUGAAAGGUUGACCUCGAAUCAGGUAGGAAUACCCGCUGAACUUAAGCAUAUCAAUAAGCGGAGGA
This 350-nucleotide unclassified non-coding RNA is filed under the name soil metagenome. RNAcentral's name for it is "partial contains 5.8S ribosomal RNA, internal transcribed spacer 2, and large subunit ribosomal RNA". The stretch from base 1 to 120 matches the Rfam family "5.8S ribosomal RNA", at positions 35 to 154 of the family's 154-position model. The record is from RNAcentral.